GACGAACGCUGGCGGCGGGCUUAACACAUGCAAGUCGAACGGAAAGGCCCUGCUUUUGUGGGGUGCUCGAGUGGCGAACGGGUGAGUAACACGUGAGUAACCUGCCCUUGACUUUGGGAUAACUUCAGGAAACUGGGGCUAAUACCGGAUAGGAUCUCCUGCUGCAUGGUGGGGGUUGGAAAGUUUCGGCGGUUGGGGAUGGACUCGCGGCUUAUCAGCUUGUUGGUGGGGUAGUGGCUUACCAAGGCUUUGACGGGUAGCCGGCCUGAGAGGGUGACCGGCGACAUUGGGACUGAGAUACGGCCCAGACUCCUACGGGAGGCAGCAGUGGGGAAUAUUGCACAAUGGGCGGAAGCCUGAUGCAGCAACGCCGCGUGCGGGAUGACGGCCUUCGGGUUGUAAACCGCUUUCGCCUGUGACGAAGCGUGAGUGACGGUAAUGGGUAAAGAAGCACCGGCUAACUACGUG
RNAcentral lists this ribosomal RNA (468 nucleotides) under uncultured bacterium. RNAcentral's name for it is "partial 16S ribosomal RNA". It matches the Rfam family "Bacterial small subunit ribosomal RNA", at positions 28 to 507 of the family's 1533-position model. The record is from RNAcentral.